GUCGGACGGCAGCGCGGGGGCAACCCUGGCGGCGAGUGGCGAACGGGUGAGUAAUACAUCGGAACGUGUCCUGGAGUGGGGGAUAGCCCGGCGAAAGCCGGAUUAAUACCGCAUACGCUCUGUGGAGGAAAGCGGGGGAUCUUCGGACCUCGCGCUCAAGGGGGGGCCGAUGGCAGAUUAGCUAGUUGGUGGGGUAAAGGCCUACCAAGGCGACGAUCUGUAGCUGGUCUGAGAGGACGACCAGCCACACUGGGACUGAGACACGGCCCAGACUCCUACGGGAGGCAGCAGUGGGGAAUUUUGGACAAUGGGGGCAACCCUGAUCCAGCAAUGCCGCGUGUGUGAAGAAGGCCUUCGGGUUGUAAAGCACUUUUGUCCGGAAAGAAAACCGCUUCUCUAAUACAGAGGCGGGAUGACGGUACCGGAAGAAUAAGCACCGGCUAACUACGUGCCAGCAGCCGCGGUAAUACGUAGGGUGCAAGCGUUAAUCGGAAUUACUGGGCGUAAAGCGUGCGCAGGCGGUUCGCUAAGACCGAUGUGAAAUCCCCGGGCUUAACCUGGGAACUGCAUUGGUGACUGGCGGGCUAGAGUAUGGCAGA
Molecule: ribosomal RNA, 599 nt
Filed under: Paraburkholderia caribensis
Lineage: Bacteria; Pseudomonadati; Pseudomonadota; Betaproteobacteria; Burkholderiales; Burkholderiaceae
Description: bacterial SSU rRNA
Rfam family: Bacterial small subunit ribosomal RNA
Source: RNAcentral